GGGUUGUGAGGUUAAGCGACUAAGCGUACACGGUGGAUGCCCUGGCAGUCAGAGGCGAUGAAGGACGUGCUAAUCUGCGAUAAGCGUCGGUGAGGUGAUAUGAACCGUUAUAACCGGCGAUUUCCGAAUGGGGAAACCCAGUGUGUUUCGACACACUAUCAUUAACUGAAUCCAUAGGUUAAUGAGGCGAACCGGGGGAACUGAAACAUCUAAGUACCCCGAGGAAAAGAAAUCAACCGAGAUUCCCCCAGUAGCGGCGAGCGAACGGGGAGGAGCCCAGAGCCUGAAUCAGUGUGUGUGUUAGUGGAAGCGUCUGGAAAGGCGUGCGAUACAGGGUGACAGCCCCGUACACAAAAAUGCACAUAUUGUGAGCUCGAUGAGUAGGGCGGG
This 390-nucleotide ribosomal RNA is filed under the name Escherichia coli. RNAcentral's name for it is "partial 23S ribosomal RNA". It matches the Rfam family "Bacterial large subunit ribosomal RNA", at positions 1 to 421 of the family's 2925-position model. The record is from RNAcentral. Lineage: Bacteria; Pseudomonadati; Pseudomonadota; Gammaproteobacteria; Enterobacterales; Enterobacteriaceae.